UAUUAGCUCAAUUGCUUAGAGUGUUGUGCUAAUAAUGUAAAAAUCAUAGGUUCGAUUCCUACAUA
RNAcentral lists this transfer RNA (65 nucleotides) under Glycine max (soybean). It matches the Rfam family "tRNA", at positions 5 to 66 of the family's 71-position model. Rfam says of the family: Transfer RNA (tRNA) molecules are approximately 80 nucleotides in length. Their secondary structure includes four short double-helical elements and three loops (D, anti-codon, and T loops). Further hydrogen bonds mediate the characteristic L-shaped molecular structure. tRNAs have two regions of fundamental functional importance: the anti-codon, which is responsible for specific mRNA codon recognition, and the 3' end, to which the tRNAs corresponding amino acid is attached (by aminoacyl-tRNA synthetases). tRNAs cope with the degeneracy of the genetic code in two manners: having more than one tRNA (with a specific anti-codon) for a particular amino acid; and 'wobble' base-pairing, i.e. permitting non-standard base-pairing at the 3rd anti-codon position. The record is from Rfam by way of RNAcentral. Lineage: Eukaryota; Viridiplantae; Streptophyta; Magnoliopsida; Fabales; Fabaceae.